This 433-nucleotide ribosomal RNA is filed under the name uncultured bacterium. Its description in RNAcentral is "partial 16S ribosomal RNA". It matches the Rfam family "Bacterial small subunit ribosomal RNA", at positions 29 to 507 of the family's 1533-position model. The record is from RNAcentral.
AACGAGCGCUGGCGGCAUGCCUAACACAUGCAAGUCGAACGAGACCUUCGGGUCUAGUGGCGCACGGGUGCGUAACGCGUGGGAACCUGCCCUUAGGUUCGGAAUAACUCCCCGAAAGGGGUGCUAAUACCGGAUAAUGUCUUCGGACCAAAGAUUUAUCGCCUUUGGAUGGGCCCGCGUUGGAUUAGCUAGUUGGUAGGGUAAAAGCCUACCAAGGCGACGAUCCAUAGCUGGUCUGAGAGGAUGAUCAGCCACACUGGGACUGAGACACGGCCCAGACUCCUACGGGAGGCAGCAGUGGGGAAUAUUGGACAAGGGGCGAAAGCCUGAUCCAGCAAUGCCGCGUGAGUGAUGAAGGCCUUAGGGUUGUAAAGCUCUUUUACCCGGGAUGAUAAUGACAGUACCGGGAGAAUAAGCUCCGGCUAACUCCGUG